CAGUAGCGUAUACUAAAGUUGUUGCAGUUAAAAAGCUCGUAGUUGGAUUUCUGGCUUGACGCGCCUAGCCCGCCGAGGUUUCUCGUGUGAGUGCUGGUGCGCGUCUGCCAUCCUUCUAGUCAACGGCGCUACCCUUCACUGGGCCGGCGUCGCGAACUAGAUCUUUUACUUUGAAAAAUUAGAGUGUUUCAGGCAGGCAAUUGCCCGAAUAUCUUAGCAUGGAAUAAUGGAAUAGGACUUUGGUUCAUUUUAUUGGUUAUUGUAAUCAGAGUAAUGAUUAAUAGGGACAGUUGGGGGCAUUAGUAUUUAAUUAUCAGAGGUGAAAUUCUUGGAUUUAUUAAAGACUAACUUAUGCGAAAGCAUUUGCCAAGGAUGUUUUCAUUAAUCAAGAACGAAAGUUAGGGGAUCAAAGAUGAUCAGAUACCGU
RNAcentral lists this ribosomal RNA (427 nucleotides) under uncultured eukaryote. RNAcentral describes it as "bacterial SSU rRNA". It matches the Rfam family "Eukaryotic small subunit ribosomal RNA", at positions 592 to 1018 of the family's 1831-position model. The record is from RNAcentral.